RNAcentral lists this ribosomal RNA (336 nucleotides) under uncultured Pseudomonas sp. Its description in RNAcentral is "bacterial SSU rRNA". It matches the Rfam family "Bacterial small subunit ribosomal RNA", at positions 1047 to 1382 of the family's 1533-position model. Lineage: Bacteria; Pseudomonadati; Pseudomonadota; Gammaproteobacteria; Pseudomonadales; Pseudomonadaceae. The record is from RNAcentral.
GGCUGUCGUCAGCUCGUGUCGUGAGAUGUUGGGUUAACGUCCCGUAACGAGCGCAACCUUGUCCUUAGUUACCAGCACGUUAUGGUGGGCACUCUAAGGAGACUGCCGGUGACAAACCGGAGGAAGGUGGGGAUGACGUCAAGUCAUCAUGGCCCUUACGGCCUGGGCUACACACGUGCUACAAUGGUCGGUACAAAGGGUUGCCAAGCCGCGAGGUGGAGCUAAUCCCAUAAAACCGAUCGUAGUCCGGAUCGCAGUCUGCAACUCGACUGCGUGAAGUCGGAAUCGCUAGUAAUCGUGAAUCAGAAUGUCACGGUGAAUACGUUCCCGGGCCUU